This 496-nucleotide ribosomal RNA is filed under the name uncultured bacterium. RNAcentral's name for it is "partial 16S ribosomal RNA". It matches the Rfam family "Bacterial small subunit ribosomal RNA", at positions 29 to 507 of the family's 1533-position model. The record is from RNAcentral.
AUGAACGCUGGCGGCGUGCCUAAUACAUGCAAGUCGAGCGAACAGACGAGGAGCUUGCUCCUCUGACGUUAGCGGCGGACGGGUGAGUAACACGUGGGUAACCUACCUAUAAGACUGGGAUAACUUCGGGAAACCGUAGCUAAUACCGGAUAAUAUUUUGAACCGCAUGGUUCAAAAGUGAAAGACGGUCUUGCUGUCACUUAUAGAUGGAUCCGCGCUGCAUUAGCUAGUUGGUAAGGUAACGGCUUACCAAGGCAACGAUGCAUAGCCGACCUGAGAGGGUGAUCGGCCACACUGGAACUGAGACACGGUCCAGACUCCUACGGGAGGCAGCAGUAGGGAAUCUUCCGCAAUGGGCGAAAGCCUGACGGAGCAACGCCGCGUGAGUGAUGAAGGUCUUCGGAUCGUAAAACUCUGUUAUUAGGGAAGAACAUAUGUGUAAGUAACUGUGCACAUCUUGACGGUACCUAAUCAGAAAGCCACGGCUAACUACGUG